This 441-nucleotide ribosomal RNA is filed under the name uncultured Anaerolineaceae bacterium. RNAcentral describes it as "bacterial SSU rRNA". It matches the Rfam family "Bacterial small subunit ribosomal RNA", at positions 338 to 795 of the family's 1533-position model. Lineage: Bacteria; Bacillati; Chloroflexota; Anaerolineae; Anaerolineales; Anaerolineaceae. The record is from RNAcentral.
CCUACGGGAGGCUGCAGUAGGGAAUAUUGCACAAUGGGCGAAAGCCUGAUGCAGCAACGCCGCGUGUGCGAUGAAGGCCUUCGGGUCGUAAAGCACUUUUCUGAGAGAUGAGAAAGGACAGUAUCUCAGGAAUAAGUCUCGGCUAACUACGUGCCAGCAGCCGCGGUAACACGUAGGAGGCGAGCGUUAUCCGGAUUCACUGGGCGUAAAGCGCGUGCAGGCGGUUUGGUAAGUUGAUCGUGAAAGCUCCCGGCUCAACUGGGAGAGGUCGUUCAAUACUACCAAACUAGAGAGUAGAAGAGGAAAAUGGAAUUCCCGGUGUAGUGGUGAAAUGCGUAGAUAUCGGGAGGAACACCAGUGGCGAAGGCGAUUUUCUGGUCUAUUUCUGACGCUCAGACGCGACAGCUAGGGUAGCAAACGGGAUUAGAUACCCCGGUAGUC